AAUGAACGCUGGCGGCAGGCCUAACACAUGCAAGUCGAACGGAUCCUUCGGGAUUAGUGGCGGACGGGUGAGUAACGCGUGGGGACAUACCCUUUGGUACGGAAUAGCCUCGGGAAACUGGGAGUAAUACCGUAUGUGGUCGAGAGACGAAAGAUUUAUCGCCAAAGGAUUGGCCCGCGUUGGAUUAGGUAGUUGGUGGGGUAAUGGCCUACCAAGCCGACGAUCCAUAGCUGGUUUGAGAGGAUGAUCAGCCACACUGGGACUGAGACACGGCCCAGACCCCUACGGGAGGCAGCAGUGGGGAAUCUUAGACAAUGGGGGAAACCCUGAUCUAGCCAUGCCGCGUGAUCGAUGAAGGCCUUAGGGUUGUAAAGAUCUUUCAGGUGGGAAGAUAAUGACUGUACCACCAGAAGAAGCCCCGGCUAACUCCGUGCCAGCAGCCGCGGUAA
RNAcentral lists this ribosomal RNA (449 nucleotides) under uncultured bacterium. RNAcentral's name for it is "partial 16S ribosomal RNA". It matches the Rfam family "Bacterial small subunit ribosomal RNA", at positions 29 to 523 of the family's 1533-position model. The record is from RNAcentral.